UUUUGAGUAGGCAACAGCAGCAACACUUGGGCGUGUAAUGAGGAUCGGGUUUGGGAACUGAACUGGUGGUGUGUGAUGAGCAGCUAUCCCACUUGCAGCAGUAGCAGCGGCAGAGGUGGGAAGCUUCUCAGUUGCCAUUCAACAUUUUAAAGCACAAGCCGCUCUGCCGUGAAAGCGCCUGAUCUACACUUCUCUGAGAGGCACAGGAGGGAAUACACAAUUGCAGAUUUCACCCACCGUGGCGGUGCAGAUCACAAGAAACAACUGACUGAUCUGAUUUUAUUUGCAAAUAGACUGGGGUUUGUUGGUUUUUCUUUUUCUUUUUUUUUUUUUUUUUUUUUUUUAACCGCGUCGCGGCUCUUCCCCCCUCCCCUUUGCCAUUCCGCUUCUAUGGAUGCAAUUCAGAAUCUGUGUUAAUUCACGUGGGGGAUCCAGUUACAUCUUGUUCCGCUCCGGGUGUAUUUACGAGAGACCAGUAAUCGCCUUUGGACACAUAGUUUUGUUGCUAACCUUUGAACUGAAAGGAUCAAGUUCAGAUCUGGUUACCUGCAUUGGGACGGGAAGGAAGAGGAGAGAGAGAAAGGGGGAGAGAGAGACUGCAAUCUCAUUUGUGAAUCGCUCUCAGUGCUGCAGAUCCAGAUUGCUAUAACACAUGCAGUGCAAAUGCAGGUAAGGCACACACACAAACUGCGGAUGCAAAACCAAACUUGGGACUGUUGUGUGUAUAUAUUAAUAUCUACAGCCUUGCAAAUUCUGGGCAAACGGCUUCUGCAGUUUCUGUAUCGUUGCUUUGUGACUAAUGACCUUGCGCAGAGUUGUUAAAAAAAAUCCGCUCCGGAGAAAGAGCUGAACAUUUUAGGCGAUCUCUGAAGAUGGAUUUGGGUGCUUUUCUGCCAACCGAAGGGGAUAUUCUGUGGACUGCUCUGUAAUACACGGGUUUCUUCUCCUGUGCAGCUACCGACAUUAUUGGGAUUUUUUCUUUAUAUUUUUUAUUUUAUUUUAUUUUUUAAGAACUGCCUAUUGCUAGGAGGAUUUGGAGUUUUCCCGGACACAAGCCCUUUGAAUAAAGAGAAUCACAUUUUUUUUUUUUCCUGUGUGUGCAGAGCGGGGGAAGAAUAAAGCUAAUGCCUUGGUCGUAAACGGCUGAGAGAGAGAGAAAAGAGAGAGAGCGUGUGAAUAGCAGUUAACUCUAGUGUCGAAGAAGACGACCUGGGGGGCUUCGAAUCGUAUAGUGCUGCUCCAGCUUUUAUUGCAAACCUUGCAAAGCGAUUACAGUAAAAUCAGAGAGGAGGAGGAGAAGGGAGAGGAGGAGGAAAAUCCCAUCCUAUCUACCGAGGUGAAUCUUUAAAAAGCAAAAUACACUGUCCCGUGAACUGUAAGUAUAUCGCAACUGGAAGGCAGGGAGAGCAGGAGAGGAGCCAGCAGCAGGGUUUUGACUA
Molecule: long non-coding RNA, 1439 nt
Filed under: Strigops habroptila (Kakapo)
Lineage: Eukaryota; Metazoa; Chordata; Aves; Psittaciformes; Psittacidae
Description: lncRNA (ENSSHBG00005018083.1)
Source: RNAcentral